CACUUUAUUUGAUUUCCUUCGGGACUGAUUAUUUUGUGACUGAGUGGCGGACGGGUGAGUAACGCGUGGGUAACCUGCCUUGUACAGGGGGAUAACAGUUGGAAACGGCUGCUAAUACCGCAUAAGCGCACGGCAUCGCAUGAUGCAGUGUGAAAAACUCCGGUGGUAUAAGAUGGACCCGCGUUGGAUUAGCUAGUUGGUGAGGUAACGGCCCACCAAGGCUACGAUCGGUAGGGGUUCUGAGAGGAAGGCCCCCACAUUGGAACUGAGACACGGUCCAAACUCC
This 286-nucleotide ribosomal RNA is filed under the name uncultured Eubacteriales bacterium. RNAcentral's name for it is "uncultured Clostridiales bacterium partial 16S ribosomal RNA". The stretch from base 49 to 286 matches the Rfam family "Bacterial small subunit ribosomal RNA", at positions 100 to 339 of the family's 1533-position model. Lineage: Bacteria; Bacillati; Bacillota; Clostridia; Eubacteriales. The record is from RNAcentral.